CGGCCUCCCAGGCUUCAAAUCCAGUGGGAAUCGACCA
This 37-nucleotide transfer RNA is filed under the name Kryptoperidinium foliaceum. Its description in RNAcentral is "partial Selenocysteine transfer RNA". Lineage: Eukaryota; Dinophyceae; Peridiniales; Kryptoperidiniaceae. The record is from RNAcentral.